Molecule: long non-coding RNA, 193 nt
Organism: Eurytemora carolleeae
Lineage: Eukaryota; Metazoa; Arthropoda; Copepoda; Calanoida; Temoridae
Exons: 3
Source: RefSeq, a predicted model, not a curated record
CAAGACCGAGACAAAAUGAAUUUUUCUUUUAUCUGCAUCGACUACUUUUGUUCAGGUAUUUGACUGAACGUGAUACAGAGGGACUCCCAGAAACAUCUCCAUUCAACAAAACAAACCGUCUCACUCAGUUCAAAUCAGAUUAUUCCUUAACUCCUGAAACCGAUCCAUCAAAUCUAAUGUCAACAUUUUCAAG